AACUGAUACUACCUGCGGGAACCUGCGGAGGGAUCAUUACAAGUGACCCCGGUCUAACCACCGGGAUGUUCAUAACCCUUUGUUGUCCGACUCUGUUGCCUCCGGGGCGACCCUGCCUUCGGGCGGGGGCUCCGGGUGGACACUUCAAACUCUUGCGUAACUUUGCAGUCUGAGUAAACUUAAUUAAUAAAUUAAAACUUUCAACAACGGAUCUCU
Molecule: unclassified non-coding RNA, 216 nt
Filed under: soil metagenome
Description: partial contains 5.8S ribosomal RNA, internal transcribed spacer 2, and large subunit ribosomal RNA
Source: RNAcentral